This 413-nucleotide ribosomal RNA is filed under the name uncultured bacterium. RNAcentral describes it as "bacterial SSU rRNA". It matches the Rfam family "Bacterial small subunit ribosomal RNA", at positions 505 to 916 of the family's 1533-position model. The record is from RNAcentral.
GUGCCAGCCGCCGCGGUAAUACGUAGGGGGCGAGCGUUGUCCGGAAUUACUGGGCGUAAAGAGCGUGUAGGCGGGUGCUUAAGUCAGGUGUGAAAGACCGCGGCCCAACUGCGGGGUUGCACUUGAAACUGGAUAUCUUGAGGGCAGGAGAGGUCAGUGGAAUUCCUGGUGUAGCGGUGAAAUGCGUAGAUAUCAGGAGGAACACCAGUGGCGAAGGCGACUGACUGGACUGACCCUGACGCUGAGGUGCGAAAGCGUGGGUAGCAAACAGGAUUAGAUACCCUGGUAGUCCACGCCGUAAACGAUGGAUACUAGGUGUAGGAGGUAUCGACCCCUUCUGUGCCGCAGCUAACGCAAUAAGUGCCCCGCCUGGGGAGUACGGUCGCAAGGCUGAAACUCAAAUGAAUUGACGG